Molecule: long non-coding RNA, 529 nt
Filed under: Nicotiana tabacum (common tobacco)
Lineage: Eukaryota; Viridiplantae; Streptophyta; Magnoliopsida; Solanales; Solanaceae
Description: long non-coding RNA (NTAB_LNC005630)
Source: RNAcentral
AAGAUGAAGGAAAAUUCCACUGCUGAUGGCAAGCAAGCAAUCAAUACAUGUCGACCAAUCUAUAUAUAAGCUAUUGAUCACAUGAUCUUUUAAAUACAAAAGCAAGCUCUCGUAUUAGUUUUGUGACAACUAACUUUAUUUUAAGAUGAUACAGCAAAACUAAAAUGAUAACCUCAAUAUUAUAAGGGCUAAGCGUUCAUUGCUUAAGGUUGAAAUUCACGGUAUCUAGUUAUCGGAGAGCAAAGGGUACCACACAAAUUAACUCCUCCACACACAAACUGCCUCUUAAAUGACAUUUUCCUCGCCGGUAGAUGACCAUCAUUAUUUCAGGAUAGAAAUAAACGAUGAUUAAUGAUUUAAGCUUGCUCGGAAAGUUUUCAAGCAAAUUUAUGUUACACAUGAUUAAUGAUUUAAGCUUCUCAGAUGGUGCUUCAGGCAGUAAAAAAACAACAGCAGAAAGGUCAACAAUAGUGCCAACUGCCAAGGAGCCAGUCGAAUAGAAAACGAGGGGAAAAUUCACGCUGGUGUA